RNAcentral lists this transfer RNA (67 nucleotides) under Frieseomelitta varia. RNAcentral describes it as "tRNA-Phe". The record is from RNAcentral. Lineage: Eukaryota; Metazoa; Arthropoda; Insecta; Hymenoptera; Apidae.
AUUUAAAUAGCUUAUAAUAAUAGAGCAUAAUAUUGAAAAUAUUAAUGAAAUUAAAAAUUUUUAAAUA